AUAAUUAUUGCAAUUAAAUGGUUUGUGAAUAACUAAUUAAUACUUUUUGCAAGUUGAUUAAUUAGAUGCUAUGUGCAGUGAAUGAAAUGAAAGUAAGAGACAACAAAGCAAUCACAAACACAAUGAUUUUAUAGUGGUUCGGAGCUAACCCUUGCACCUACGUCCACUCCCCAAGCCUCACUUGGGAAUUCACUAUAACC
RNAcentral lists this long non-coding RNA (200 nucleotides) under Phoenix dactylifera (date palm). Its description in RNAcentral is "long non-coding RNA (PDAC_LNC016370)". The record is from RNAcentral. Lineage: Eukaryota; Viridiplantae; Streptophyta; Magnoliopsida; Arecales; Arecaceae.